AAUAGAUACCCUGGUAGUCCACGCCGUAAACGAUGUCGACUUGGAGGUUGUGCCCUUGAGGCGUGGCUUCCGGAGCUAACGCGUUAAGUCGACCGCCUGGGGAGUACGGCCGCAAGGUUAAAACUCAAAUGAAUUGACGGGGGCCCGCACAAGCGGUGGAGCAUGUGGUUUAAUUCGAUGCAACGCGAAGAACCUUACCUACUCUUGACAUCCAGAGAACUUGCCAGAGAUGGCUUGGUGCCUUCGGGAACUCUGAGACAGGUGCUGCAUGGCUGUCGUCAGCUCGUGUUGUGAAAUGUUGGGUUAAGUCCCGCAACGAGCGCAACCCUUAUCCUUGUUGCCAGCGGUUAGGUCGGGAACUCAAAGGAGACUGCCAGUGAUAAACUGGAGGAAGGUGGGGAUGACGUCAAGUCAUCAUGGCCCUUACGAGUAGGGCUACACACGUGCUACAAUGGCGCAUACAAAGAGAAGCGACCUCGCGAGAGCAAGCGGACUUCAUAAAGUGCGUCGUAGUCCGGA
Molecule: ribosomal RNA, 519 nt
Filed under: uncultured bacterium
Lineage: Bacteria
Description: bacterial SSU rRNA
Rfam family: Bacterial small subunit ribosomal RNA
Source: RNAcentral